UGAGGAAUAUUGGUCAAUGGGCGAGAGCCUGCACCAGCCAAGUAGCGUGCAGGAUGACGGCCCUAUGGGUUGUAAACUGCUUUUAUGUGGGGAUAAAGUGCGUGACGUGUCAUGCAUUGCAGGUACCACAUGAAUAAGGACCGGCUAAUUCCGUGCCAGCAGCCGCGGUAAUACGGAAGGUCCGGGCGUUAUCCGGAUUUAUUGGGUUUAAAGGGAGCGUAGGCUGUCUAUUAAGCGUGUUGUGAAAUUUACCGGCUCAACCGGUGGCUUGCAGCGCGAACUGGUCGACUUGAGUAUGCAGGAAGUAGGCGGAAUUCAUGGUGUAGCGGUGAAAUGCUUAGAUAUCAUGACGAACUCCGAUUGCGCAGGCAGCUUACUGUAGCAUAACUGACGCUGAUGCUCGAAAGUGCGGGUAUCAAACAGG
Molecule: ribosomal RNA, 424 nt
Filed under: Fusobacteriota bacterium
Lineage: Bacteria; Fusobacteriati; Fusobacteriota
Description: Fusobacteria bacterium partial 16S ribosomal RNA
Rfam family: Bacterial small subunit ribosomal RNA
Source: RNAcentral